UAAAAAAGAUAAUAUUAUUUAUACACGUGCAAUACAUGCAAAGCACACCUGAGUUCAGAUACUGAAAGUGAACAUCAGUGGAACUUUGAUGAUCUAGGCCGCUCUAUUUUUGCAGCAACACCAGCAGGCGUCGGACAUUCAUAAAGUUGAAAGAACAAACCUAUGACUUGAACACACAAUUUGUGAUCUGAAUAUAGUUCACAAAUUUAAGGAAAGCAACUAUCAAAGACAUCCAGAUUGAUGGUAUACAUGAAGUAUGAAUGAAAGGCUUUUCAGAAGAACAAGCACAAUCCCGAUUCAUUCUUGCCAUUGUCUGCUCCAGACGGCGACAUUUAGGACCUGACUUACUUUUCAGAAAAAGAAGAUGAAUCGAUUUUUGAUAGUUGAUCUUAAAAAGAUAACAUUUUCAGGGGUCGUGGAUUGAAUGACAUUUUCUUGCAAUCUCCCAUGCAGAGUUGUCGUUCGUUCCUCUCUCAGACACCUCUGCAAUGGGCUCACGUCAAGAUUUUUGACAUAACGUAUAAAACUUGAUAUUUGAAGAAUUGUUUCAAUUCAAAUCAAUAGUUCUGGAUUGAUUUAGUAAAUAUCUAUCUCAAAAUUCAGACAUAAACAUAGAAAUUGAAUUGUAAUGAAUUAAAACAAACGCAAUAUUUCUCGUGUUUAAAACUGUGUAUACGCGAGCCAACGACAGAGGUGAAUGUAUGAGCCGAUGGUAGAGAGUGAUUUUCUUGAUGGGCAACUAGUUUCAAGUAUUUGGAUGUCUAUUCUCAAGUUACUGCAAACCUUAAAUUAACUUCUUGAUUAUUAGUUAAAUGUGAGACCGUUUCUUACUUGAAGUAAUCAUUUUUUGAAUUGAGCUAUGUAAUCUCUGAUUACUUAUGUUUAUGAGUACUGUUCAGCUUUAAGACAAAAGGAUCUUUUAUGAACAUUGCAUUCGUCAUGGUGAAUUUCUAUAC
This is a long non-coding RNA of Saccostrea cuccullata (small rock oyster), 956 nucleotides long. RefSeq lists it as uncharacterized. Lineage: Eukaryota; Metazoa; Mollusca; Bivalvia; Ostreida; Ostreidae. The transcript has 3 exons. The record is from RefSeq and is a predicted model, not a curated record.